AGUUUAGGGUAUAGAGUUAUUGUUUAGGGUUUAGGGUAUAGAGUUUAUGUUUCUAGGUUUAGAGUUGAAGGUUUAGGGUUUAGGGUUUAGGGUUUAGAGAUGAUAUUUCGGGGUUUAUUAGAGUUAAUGUUUCAAGGUUUAGAGUUCAUAUUUCAAAAAGAAAAUAUAGUGUUUAGGAUUGUUGAUUUAAGGUUUAGGGUUCUUAUUUCAAAAAAAAUAUAGGGUUUAAGAUUGAUGGUUUAGGGGUUAGAGUUGAGUUUUAGAGUUUAGGAUUUGAAUUUCGAAAUAGUAUAAUUCGAGAAAAGUUAAAAAU
RNAcentral lists this long non-coding RNA (313 nucleotides) under Brassica napus (rape). RNAcentral's name for it is "long non-coding RNA (BNAP_LNC000470)". The record is from RNAcentral. Lineage: Eukaryota; Viridiplantae; Streptophyta; Magnoliopsida; Brassicales; Brassicaceae.